ACAAUACUUCUUUGAGUGAAAGAGCUCAGUAUUUUAACAAUGUUUCUUAGUUUCUGUGCUGAGAUGCAUAAAUACUGCACUGCUCCAGUCCUUAGAUAUUUCAUCUGCCUCUCGUUUCUUCUAAUAGGUGUCAUAAACGGAGACAAAAUAACCCAGUUAGAAUUAACCAAAACUGUGCAUGAAGGGGAUGAUGUUCUUCUGUCCUGUAAUUUUACAAGUGGCUCAGCUGUAAACUUACAUUGGUACCAGCAGAAGCCAAAUGGAUCUCUUGAGCUUAUGGGACUUUCUACAAGUAAAUAUCAACUUAAUUCAACAGCAGGACAUUUCUCAUCACAUUAUGAUGUUUCCAAGAGUGCCGUAUUUCUAAACAUUGCCAAAGUGGAGCUGUCUGACUCAGCCGUUUACUACUGUGCAAUGAGUGACACAGUGUCGCACACUCCCACUAAUGUCAUACAGUAACGGCUGCUGCUGCUGUAUGUUUUAGGAAUAAAAUAUUGUACCAUCACAGGAGUGGAGGAUGCCUUGACAAAGUAUCUUUUGGGCUUUUAUUCUCUGCUUCUGCAUAAUUCAGAAAUCAUUUCAAUGCUUUAAUGAUUUAGAAUCCUUGCUUACUACC
Non-coding RNA from Protopterus annectens (West African lungfish), 616 nucleotides. NCBI's taxonomy places the organism in Eukaryota, Metazoa, Chordata, Ceratodontiformes, Protopteridae. The record is from the annotation of a RefSeq genome assembly.